GACAGCUGCUCAGAGACAGCGAGGCUCCAUUGGUUGUUUUAAUCCGCGGCCAAUACAGGAACAACGGAAUUAAAGAAGAGCUGUUUGUUUGGCAUGAAUUUCAACUUUCAGCGCUACUAGUCUAGUCUGCUCUUGUUGUUUACACCGGAAGUCACAGCUACUUCCUUGGCAACCGAGCGAGUCCCUAGCAACCACUGG
Long non-coding RNA from Sebastes umbrosus (honeycomb rockfish), 198 nucleotides. RefSeq lists it as uncharacterized. The record is from RefSeq and is a predicted model, not a curated record. Lineage: Eukaryota; Metazoa; Chordata; Actinopteri; Perciformes; Sebastidae. The transcript has 3 exons.